This 637-nucleotide ribosomal RNA is filed under the name Phryganophilus ruficollis. RNAcentral's name for it is "eukaryotic LSU rRNA". It matches the Rfam family "Eukaryotic large subunit ribosomal RNA", at positions 670 to 1262 of the family's 3401-position model. Lineage: Eukaryota; Metazoa; Arthropoda; Insecta; Coleoptera; Melandryidae. The record is from RNAcentral.
GGAGUCUAGCAUGUGCGCGAGUCAUUGGGACAUGAUUAAACCUAAAGGCGUAAUGAAAGUAAAGGCCCGCCCUGGCGCGGGCCGAGGGAGGAUGGGUGGUCGUUACGGCUGCCGCUCCGCACUCCCGGGGCGUCUCGUUCUCAUUGCGAGAAGAGGCGCACCAAGAGCGUACACGCUGGGACCCGAAAGAUGGUGAACUAUGCCUGGUCAGGACGAAGUCAGGGGAAACCCUGAUGGAGGUCCGUAGCGAUUCUGACGUGCAAAUCGAUCGUCGGAACUGGGUAUAGGGGCGAAAGACUAAUCGAACCAUCUAGUAGCUGGUUCCCUCCGAAGUUUCCCUCAGGAUAGCUGGCGCUCGUAGCAUACGAGUUUCAUCCGGUAAAGCGAAUGAUUAGAGGCAUUGGGGUCGAAACGGCCUCAACCUAUUCUCAAACUUUAAAUGGGUGAGAUCUCCGGCUUGCUCGAACUCUUGAAGCCGCGAGACUCGAAUCAGAGUGCCAAGUGGGCCAUUUUUGGUAAGCAGAACUGGCGCUGUGGGAUGAACCAAACGCCGAGUUAAAGCGCCAAAAUCGACGCUUAUGGGAUACCAUGAAAGGCGUUGGUAACUUAAGACAUCAGGACGGUGGCCAUGGAAGUC